Molecule: ribosomal RNA, 440 nt
Filed under: uncultured bacterium
Lineage: Bacteria
Description: partial 16S ribosomal RNA
Rfam family: Bacterial small subunit ribosomal RNA
Source: RNAcentral
CCUACGGGAGGCAGCAGUGGGGAAUUUUGCACAAUGGGCGCAAGCCUGAUCCAGCCACGCCGCGUGUCUGAAGAAGGCCCUCGGCUUGUAAAGCCCUUUCAGCAGGGAAGAAAAGGACGUUGCCUGUAUCGGCAGCUCAUGCUAACUACGGGCCAGCAGCCGCGGUAAUACGUAGGGCGCAAGCGUUAGACGGAAUUACUGGGUGUAAAGUGGGCGCGGACGGCGACGCAAGCAGGGAGUGAAAGCGCCGGGCUCAACCUCGGGACUGCUCUCGGAACUGGGUGGCUGGAGUGCGUGAGGGGGAGGCAGAAUUCCUGGUGUAGCAGUGAAAUGCGUAGAUAUGAGGAGGAACACCGAUGGCGAAGGCGGCCUCCUGGAAUACCACUGACGUUGAGGCGCGAAAGCGUGGGGAGCAAACAGGAUUAGAUACCCGAGUAGUC